CCUCACAGCACCAGACUGUUGUCUGUGAAGCCUAGUAACCUCCCAGCACCAGACUGUUGUCUGUGAAGCCUAGUAACCUCCCAGCCCCAGACUGUUGUCUGUGAAGCCUAGUAACCUCAGAGCACCAGACUGUUGUCUGUGAAGCCUAGUAACCUCACAGCACCAGACUGUUGUCUGUGAAGCCUAGUAACCUCCCAGCACCAGACUGUUGUCUGUGAAGCCUAGUAACCUCACAGCACCAGACUGUUGUCUGUGAAGCCUAGUAACCUCCCAGCACCAGACUACCCACAGACAGAACUGGGCAUCAUAGCAUCAGAAGAGGAAGACCUGACAUUUUCAGCCACUAACACAGAAGGACCAUUGUUACACUUUCCUUUUUUUAAUCCAUGUUAGUUGUUGUGGCAGAGAAUCACUCAGGACCACAAAGGUUCUGAGCUGCCCCUCCCUGUGCCUGAGUAGAAAGGGCCCCCUGUCUGUCUCAGCUGUAAUACCAGUCCAGGGGAGGGUACUAGGUAGAAAGGGCCCCCUGUCUGUCUCGGCUGUAAUACCAGUCCAGGGGAGGGUACUAGGUAGAAAGGGCCCCCUGUCUGUCUCAGCUGUAAUACCAGUCCAGGGGAGGGUACUAGGUAGAAAGGGCCCCCUGUCUGUCUCGGCUGUAAUACCAGUCCAGGGGAGGGUACUAGGUAGAAAGGGCCCCCUGUCUGUCUCGGCUGUAAUACCAGUCCAGGGGAGGGCACUAGGUAGAAAGGGCCCCCUGUCUGUCUCGGCUGUAAUACCAGUCCAGGGGAGGGUACUAGGUAGAAAGGGUCCCCUGUCUGUCUCAGCUGUAAUGCCAGUCCAGGGGAGGGUACUAGGUAGAAAGGGCCCCCUGUCUGUCUCGGCUGUAAUACCAGUCCAGGGGAGGGCACUAGGUAGAAAGGGCCCCCUGUCUGUCUCAGCUGUAAUGCCAGUCCAGGGGAGGGUACUAGGUAGAAAGGGCCCCCUGUCUGUCUCAGCUGUAAUACCAGUCCAGGGGAGGGUACUAGGUAGAAAGGGUCCCCUGUCUGUCUCGGCUGUAAUACCAGUCCAGGGGAGGGUACUAGGUAGAAAGGGCCCCUGUCUGUCCCAGCUGUAACACCAGUCCAGGGGAGGGUACUAGGUAGAAAGGGCCCCUGUCUGUCUCAGCUGUAAUACCAGUCCAGGGGAGGGCACUAGGUAGAAAGGGCCCCCUGUCUGUCUCAGCUGUAAUACCAGUCCAGGGGAGGGCACUAGGUAGAAAGGGCCCCCUGUCUGUCUCAGUUAUAAUACCAGUCCAGGGGAGGGUACUAGGUAGAAAGGGCCCCCUGUCUGUCUCAGUUAUAAUACCAGUCCAGGGGAGGGUACUAGGUAGUUACAGACAGACAAGUUGUAAGUUGUGUAGUCCAGGACAGGUCAGUUACAGACAGACAGGUUGUGUAGUCUAGGACAGGUCAGUUCCACUAGGAGAUAGAUGGUUAUAGACAGACAGGUUGUGUAGUCUAGGACAGGUCAGUUACACUAGGAGAUAGAUGGUUACAGACAGACAGGCUGUGUAGUCUAGGACAGGUCAGUUCCACUAGGAGAUAGGUGGUUACAGACAGACAGGUUGUGUAGUCUAGGACAGGUCAUUUACAGACAGACAGGUCAGUUCCACUAGGAGAUAGAUGGUUACAGACAGACAGGUCAGUUCCACUAGGAGAUAGAUGGUUACAGACAGACAGGUCAGUUCCACUAGGAGAUAGAUGGUGACAGACAGACAGGUCAGUUCCACUAGGAGAUAGAUGGUGACAGACAGGUCAGUUCCACUAGGAGAUAGAUGGUUACAGACAGACAGGUCAGUUCCACUAGGAGAUAGAUGGUGACAGACAGACAGGUCAGUUCCACUAGGAGAUAGAUGGUGACAGACAGACAGGUCAGUUCCACUAGGAGAUAGAUGGUGACAGACAGACAGGUCAAUUCCACUAGGAGAUAGAUGGUUACAGACAGACAGGUCAGUUCCACUAGGAGAUAGAUGGUGACAGACAGACAGGUCAGUUCCACUAGGAGAUAGAUGGUUACAGACAGACAGGUCAGUUCCACUAGGAGAUAGAUGGUUACAGACAGACAGUGUAGUAGCAAUAUAAAGAUGAUUAUAAAAUGUGAGAUUAAAGACCUGACGUUCAUACUAAUAUUCAGCCAGUUAACCACAGUCCUGGAGUCAGAUGUUAACUCCUGUCUCUAAAUAGUGGAGGUUAGGGCCCCGUUAACCACAGUCCUGGAGUCAGAGGUUAACUAAAGGACUCCAGCCGGGGGGCCCUAAAG
This is a long non-coding RNA of Oncorhynchus tshawytscha (Chinook salmon), 2298 nucleotides long. Lineage: Eukaryota; Metazoa; Chordata; Actinopteri; Salmoniformes; Salmonidae. The record is from Ensembl.